This is a long non-coding RNA of Oryza brachyantha (malo sina), 793 nucleotides long. RefSeq lists it as uncharacterized. NCBI's taxonomy places the organism in Eukaryota, Viridiplantae, Streptophyta, Magnoliopsida, Poales, Poaceae. The record is from RefSeq and is a predicted model, not a curated record. The transcript has 2 exons.
GCGGGCAAGCAGAGCGGACUAAUUUUCUUAGAAAUCCCCAUCACCCACGAACCCUAAACCUACAAUGCGCUGAGGCCGGCAGCUGCUCGUGGAGGCGACGGCCCGACUGGUGAGGGCGGCGGCCAAUCGUGGCGGCGCCGCGGCAGCUGAGGGCGGCGGCCUAUCAUGGCUGCUGGGGCCGGCUGGAGAGGCUGGCUGCGAAGAUGGAGUUGUCUGGAUACUCUAGUAGGAGGAGUGCGACGAAAGGAGCAACCCUCGAAUUACGGUGCAUAUGUCAUAAGCCAGCAAUGGUGCGGACAUCGUACACCGAGAGAAACCUAGGGCGACGAUGGCUUCAGUGCUGGCAUGAUCCCCCCUCUUGCUAGAUAUGGAUUUGGGAAAAUCUUCUAGAUUGAUAUGUGGAGGAGAUGGUUGAGUAUUGCAAGAUUGCAGAGGAAGCAUUGCACCGGGUAAUUGCAGAGAAGAGGAAAAUAGAAGCUUCAAGGUUUGCUUGAUGGUAGUAAGGCUAAAAUGCAUGAACUGCAUGUGGAGAUUGCUAUGUUUUAGGAGGAGGUAGAGGAGCCGAAGAAAAAAUUGGAUGCAGAGAAAUAUAGAAAUUCUAGGAUGGUGUGGUUGGUCUGUGUAAUCGUGAUAAUUAUUGUUGCUCGGUUUUUAGUUUAGUUUAGUUCAGUUAUACAGUAGGCAUAUAUGUACCCUUCAAUUAUUUUGGAUGAUGAAUGGAUGGAUGGAUGGAUGGAAUAAGUUGUUGUAAUAUUUUGGUUGAUCAAUGAAAAAGUGUGGUCCGUCAGUGAAA